CUUGAAUAAGUAUUACUUAUUGAACAUAAUGCUAAAGUCCCAUGUUCCCAACAUUUCCAAUUUGAGAAUAUAAUCAUGUUUAUUUCCCAGUUUGCUUAUAAAUAACUUUAAAACAUGACAGCCCAAUAGGUUAAAGAAAAAAAAUUCUGCAGCUUUGUCCUGAAGACACAUUUAUUAUGGCACAGAAAGCAAAAUCAGCACUAUUUUUUUCAAAGAACAGAAAAAAAAUAUAUUUCAUAAGAACUUGUUAUUCUGGGGGAGGGGAGGGAGCUGCUUUAUCUUGGCCCCAUCCCCAGAAGUUACAGUCACCAAACUGGAUAUGAUUCUCAGUUAAAGCAAGCAGAGCCAUGAAUAGCGAAAGAAUAUAAUGAAACUACUGCUCAGUCUGGAAUGCCAUCUGAAGACCACGAGGUGACAAGCCUGGAUGACUAAACAGAAAGACAAAUGAGCCUGCAUUCCUGAUGGCACUGUGGAACCACUAUACCAGCUUCGGACAGUCUACCUCUAAUUUCUCAUUACUUGAGGAAAAUAAUCUCCCUUAUUUAUAUGACCCUUUUUUGGAUUUCUGUGGCCGCUGAACAUGAUUCCUAUUUGAUGAGAAAGUCAGAAGAAAGUUUAGGAAAAAGUUUGUUUAACCUAGAGAGGAGAGAGAGAUUCUUUAAAAGACAGAUAUAGAUGAUUGCAUUACUCCAUUUUCACGUUGCUGAUAAAGACAUACCAAAGACAGGGAAGAAAAAGAGAUUUAAUGGACCUACAGUUCCACAUGGCUGGGGCCUCACAAUCAUGGCAGAAGGCAAGGAGGAGCAAGUCACAUCUUACAUGGAUGGCAGCAGGCAAAGAGAAGAGAGCUUGUGAAGGAAAACUCCCCUUUUUAAAACCAUCAGAUCUUGUGUGACUUAUUCACUAUCAGGAGAACAGCACGGGAAAGACCUGUCCCCAUGCUAUGAUUCAAUUACCUCCCACUGGGUCCCUCCCACAACAUGUGGGAAUUUAAGAUGAGAUUUGGGUGGGGACAUAGCCAAACCAUGUCAAUGAUUACAGGAACUGCCAACAGAAAAAUUUAUAAUAAGUGAUACCAUAAACUAAAACAAAAGCAAACUUACAAAACUUAUUUGUAAAUUAAGUUAAAGGAUUAUAUCCAUAAUAAGGAUAUCAAAGAACACCAACAUAUUAGUAAGGGAAAAAAUCCAACAGGAAAAAAUGAGUAAAGAUAUGAAUAAGCAAUUCACAGAACUGAAAAUCAAAAUGCCCAACAAAUAUAUUGAAAGAUGGCUAGCCUCAUAACUAGUUAGGGAAAUGCACCAUAGGAAACAUUUUUUUAAAACUCAUUUUAUUGUAAAAGAAAAGCAUUCGGUGACAGUUUAUAGAGGAAAUAAUUACUCUCAGACAUUAAUGGUGACAAUAAGAAUUGUGUCAAUAUUUCUGAAAAAUAAUUUAGCAUUAAGUAUUCAAAUUAAAUUGGUAUAUACUAUGCACAAAGAUAUUAAUUACAAUAUUAUUCAUAAUAGAAUACUAGAGACCAUCCAUAUGUCCAAAAUGAACACAGUUAAGGUUUCAGAUAUCUACUGCUACAGAACAAACCAUCCCAAACUUAGUAUCUCAAAACAGUAUGUUAUUUUUCACAACUCUGUAGGCUGGCUAGCAGUUUCUCUGCUGUUUUCAUUCUCUGGUUCCUGUGCGUUCAGCUAAAGGGUCAGCUGGGCUACUAGGUCCUAGAUAACCCACUUUCACAUCUGCUGGUUGGUGCUUGCUGUUAGCUGGGGUAUCUUGGUUCUCCUGCAAGACACAUCUAGUGCUUCCAUACACUAGACCAGCUUCCUCACACUCAGCUGCAAGAAAGUAUUCCUUGAAGCCUCGUAAGGAGUUGGUUCCUGAACUCAUAGAUCACUUCCAUCAUAUUCGUUCGUCAAAGUAAGUCACGAGGCCAGCCAAGACUCAAGAAAGAGAUGGAGAAAUAGAUUCUACCUCUAGACAGAAAAAGCAAAGGCACACUGCAAAGAAGAAUGCCUACCAAAACAGGAGAAAUUUAUGACUGUUAAACAUUCUACCACUGGUAGGCAGGUACAGGUGUGUGUAUGUGUGUGUCUGAAUGUACACACAUACUCACAUGCACAAUGAAAUACUAUGUAAGUUGUUAAAAAGAAUGGAAAGGUUUUCUAGAUAAGUAAAAAAAAAGGUGUAGAAUAUUUAAUAUGGUAUGUUACCAUUUGUGUCUGGGGAAACUAUGUGUAUAUUCUAUCACAUAUAUGUAUGUUUGUAAAUUCUUGAAAUAGAUUUAAAAAUUAACUAUUAGAAUAUGUAAAGGUGUCUGCAAGCUAGCUGAAGAUGCAGGGCAGUGAGGUCAUGUUGGGAAGACUACCAGAAGUGCAGCCUAAUUAGCCUAGAGGCGAGGACAAUGGGUGUUGUGUGGAAACAGAGAGUUGCACAGAGUCAUAGGCCCAGUGAGGGGCUGUGGAUCCACAGAGGCAAAAGCCAGCAGGCCCCUCAGUUAAUGAUGCGUGUUAGUAGGGGUAGAUGAAGGUGGGAGAUGGUCUACAUGGCAGAGAGAAUGGUAGCCUACUGGGCAAAUAAGUAAAACAACUGGGGAAAUGAGAAAUAUAUCCAGGCUAAUGCAAAGCCUAGUUUCUUACUGCCAGAGAAGGCAUUCAUAAACAUUUAAAGGGAGAAAGCUAGGAAAAACCCUGGGGUGUUGGACUAGAAUUGGAACUACAGGAACAACUUUAUGAUUCUGUAAUAUGUACACACAGGUACAGAAAUAAUUACAUAUGUACAUGAGUGUGUGUUUUGCAUAUGUGUGUGUAUACAAACCAUAUACAAGUGUCCUAAUUCUGUCUUCUAUGACGGCUUGGAAGCAAUGACACUCCAGCAGCAAUGAGCACACUAAGCCCCCAUAUCUUUGUUUUUAAAUACCAUCUUUCACACACACAAAAAAGAAAACCAAACAACCCACAAAAAACAAAAAUAGGGCUCCUUGGAGAAAUGGCUGAUUCUAGGGCUCUAGCCCUGGAAUCUACUUUGUCUACUCUAGUAGACAAAGCACAAGAUGAACCAGGAACAGCUUGUUCUGCCAGAAAGCCCUAAGGAAAUGCACAAUCAAUGAGAUAGGGGCAUGAUAUAUGGGCAGAAGAGCCAGCUUGAAGAGGCUACCAUUGGCUAAAUCAGGAAUACCUUAAAAAGCAAAAUAAAUAACAAUAGCAACAAAUCAGAACACAUUUCACAAAAUCAAAAUCCAUGAGUCUUUACUGCUUUAAUUUUAAUAAAUAAGAGAGAAAGAGGUGAAACCCCAUCUCUACUAAAAAUACAAAAAUGAGACGGGAGUGGUGGCAGGUGCCUGUAAUCUCAGCUACUCGGGAGGCUGAGGCAGGAGAAUUGCUUGAACCUGGGAGGUGGAGGUGGCAGUGCGCCAAGAUCACACCACUGCAUUCCAGCCUGGGCAGCAGAGCAAGACUCUGUCUCAAAAAAAAAAAAGUAGUAGUACCUUAUGACAUAAUACCAACUAAUAUGUAUAGAAGAAAUAACAGAAAAA
Molecule: long non-coding RNA, 3526 nt
Filed under: Pongo abelii (Sumatran orangutan)
Lineage: Eukaryota; Metazoa; Chordata; Mammalia; Primates; Hominidae
Description: lncRNA (ENSPPYG00000030624.1)
Source: RNAcentral